Long non-coding RNA from Cydia fagiglandana, 657 nucleotides. RefSeq lists it as uncharacterized. The transcript is spliced from 3 exons. The record is from RefSeq and is a predicted model, not a curated record. NCBI's taxonomy places the organism in Eukaryota, Metazoa, Arthropoda, Insecta, Lepidoptera, Tortricidae.
CACUAGUUGUAAACAUCGGGAUGUCAAAAAUUACGAUAAUAUUGAUAUUGUUACCAAACAAAUUAUUAAAGUAUACUCGUCGCGUGUAUAAUUACUUUAGUUUUUCUAUGUUAAUACUAUGAAGUACAAAACAUCAACAAUAUCGGCGUAUUAUCAAAGUGAAACUUGGCAUAACCUAAAAAUUUAGUGUAAGUUUGUGUUAAAAUUUCGUGUUUUGUGAAUUAUUUCUGGUGUAUUGUGAUGAAAAUUCAAGUGAAUCUGUUUUUGUGAUGUCGUGAUGUGUUAGUGUUGUAUAUGAAAUGGAUUGCCAGUGAGUAGCGGGGCUGCUUUGGACCAAUUUAUCUACCAAGCAGAAAAGGGAAAAAUAAUCUGCUCCUCUAUAACAGCCAUACAUACAGUCGUGGAGUUCCCGGGAAUUACUACUGCUCCAAAAGAACCAUGAUGAAGUGUAGAGCAAAAGUGAAAUUGGAUGAAAUGAACAAUAUCAUACUUGUUGAAGAGGGGAUUCAUAACCACGAACCGCCUGUGUUUCACAUUAGCAGCAACGGAGAGGCCCAUCUUUCUAACCACUAGAAGAAACAGGAGGAUUCUCCUGUACCAAGGGUUCACAUACAGCCGCGUAAACCCAGGACAAUACUGCUGUUCCAGACGACUCGU